Long non-coding RNA from Cavia porcellus (domestic guinea pig), 509 nucleotides. RefSeq lists it as uncharacterized. The transcript is spliced from 2 exons. The record is from RefSeq and is a predicted model, not a curated record. Lineage: Eukaryota; Metazoa; Chordata; Mammalia; Rodentia; Caviidae.
UGGUAGCCGCAUAUGUGAGACUGUCUCAGUAAGGAGGAGAACACUCCCAGUGCAGGCCCCCUUUCCAUCUGGCAGGAGAACGCUGCAGAGAGGAAGCUCAAGGUGCACAGAGCAGUAACCGUUUCCUCCAGGAUUAGCGCCUCCCCUGAUCGUGGCCAGAGACCAGCAAAGCAAUCACCAGGAGCACGGCUGUAGUCCUGUCUCCAGGCCCCUGGACAGCAGUGAGGGAUUCGGGGAAGGUAAAUUGAGGUCAGCAGAGGCGGUGGGAGUUGGUACCUUUGGACGACGCCAGGGAGCACGCGGGAGACACAGCGUGAAACGUCCCACCUGGAGUGGGAGGAGGCAGCUGCAGCCCCAGCGCUGUAAGCCCGGCUCCACGAAGUCUAGCCGACAUCUGGAAAGGAUAUCAGGAGACACAGGCGGGCGGGCUGGCGCACCCGGCUACCUUUGUACUUCUCGAUGCAAAUUGAAAAGCAAAACAGACAUCAAGGAUAUAUUUAUAUAACUGU